Molecule: ribosomal RNA, 824 nt
Filed under: uncultured delta proteobacterium
Lineage: Bacteria; Deltaproteobacteria
Description: bacterial SSU rRNA
Rfam family: Bacterial small subunit ribosomal RNA
Source: RNAcentral
AAAAGGGGGGCAACUCCCUGAGUACAGCGGCGCACGGGUGAGUAACACGUAGGUAAUCUCCCCUCGAGCCCGGAAUAACCUACCGAAAGGUGGGCUAAUACCGGAUAUGACCACGGAAGUUUCGGCUUCUGCGGUGAAAGAUGGCCUCUAUUUAUAAGCUAUCACUCAAGGAUGAGCCUGCGUGCCAUUAGCUAGUUGGUGGGGUAAUGGCCCACCAAGGCUAUGAUGGCUAGCUGGUCUGAGAGGAUGGCCAGCCACACUGGGACUGAAACACGGCCCAGACUCCUACGGGAGGCAGCAGUGGGGGAUAUUGCGCAAUGGGCGAAAGCCUGACGCAGCGACGCCGCGUGGGUGAUGAAGGCCUUCGGGUCGUAAAGCCCUGUCGAGGGGGACGAAUCGGUUGCGACCUAACACGUCGUGAUCUUGACGGUACCCCUAAAGGAAGCACCGGCUAACUCCGUGCCAGCAGCCGCGGUAAUACGGAGGGUGCUAGCGUUGUUCGGAAUCACUGGGCGUAAAGCGCGUGUAGGCGGUCCGUUAAGUCUGAUGUGAAAGCCCGGGGCUCACCCCCGGAAGUGCAUUGGAAACUGACGAACUCGAGUCCCGGAGAGGAGGGUGGAAUUCCUGGUGUAGCGGUGAAAUGCGUAGAUAUCAGGAGGAACACCGGUGGCGAAGGCGGCCCUCUGGACGGUGACUGACGCUGAGACGCGAAAGCGUGGGGAGCAAACAGGAUUAGAUACCCUGGUAGUCCACGCCGUAAACGAUGAGCACUAGGUGUCGCGGGUAUUGACCCCUGCGGUGCCGACGCUAACGCAUUAAGUGCU